RNAcentral lists this transfer RNA (62 nucleotides) under Sthenias yunnanus. Its description in RNAcentral is "tRNA-Cys". Lineage: Eukaryota; Metazoa; Arthropoda; Insecta; Coleoptera; Cerambycidae. The record is from RNAcentral.
AGUCUUAUAUUCAAUAAUGAUUUUAAAUUGCAAAUUUAAAGGUGGGGUUUAGCCUAAGGCUU